CUACGGGAGGCAGCAGUGGGGAAUCUUGCGCAAUGGGCGAAAGCCUGACGCAGCAACGCCGCGUGCGGGAAGAAGGCUCUCGGGUUGUAAACCGCUUUCAGAAGGAACGAAACUGACGGUACUUUCAGAAGAAGGUGCGGCCAACUACGUGCCAGCAGCCGCGGUGACACGUAGGCACCAAGCGUUGUCCGGAUUUAUUGGGCGUAAAGAGCUCGUAGGCGGUUCAGUAAGUCGGGUGUGAAAACUUUGGGCUUAACCCAAAGCCUGCAUCCGAUACUGCUGUGACUUGAGUACGGUAGGGGAGCGGGGAAUUUCUAGUGUAGCGGUGAAAUGCGCAGAUAUUAGAAGGAACACCGGUGGCGAAGGCGCCGCUCUGGGCCGUAACUGACGCUGAGGAGCGAAAGCGUGGGUAGCAAACAGGAUUAGAUACCCUAGUAGUCC
This 441-nucleotide ribosomal RNA is filed under the name uncultured bacterium. RNAcentral's name for it is "bacterial SSU rRNA". It matches the Rfam family "Bacterial small subunit ribosomal RNA", at positions 339 to 796 of the family's 1533-position model. The record is from RNAcentral.